CUACCCUACGGGGCGCAGCAGUGAGGAAUAUUGGUCAAUGGCCGAGAGGCUGAACCAGCCAAGUCGCGUGAGGGAAGACGGCCCUACGGGUUGUAAACCUCUUUUGUCGGGGAGCAAAGCGAGUCACGUGUGACUCAUUGAGAGUACCCGAAGAAAAAGCAUCGGCUAACUCCGUGCCAGCAGCCGCGGUAAUACGGAGGAUGCGAGCGUUAUCCGGAUUUAUUGGGUUUAAAGGGUGCGCAGGCGGAGGUGCAAGUCAGAAGUGAAAGCCUGGGGCUCAACCCCGGAAUUGCUUUUGAAACUGU
RNAcentral lists this ribosomal RNA (305 nucleotides) under uncultured bacterium. Its description in RNAcentral is "bacterial SSU rRNA". It matches the Rfam family "Bacterial small subunit ribosomal RNA", at positions 334 to 636 of the family's 1533-position model. The record is from RNAcentral.